Molecule: long non-coding RNA, 1017 nt
Filed under: Salmo salar (Atlantic salmon)
Lineage: Eukaryota; Metazoa; Chordata; Actinopteri; Salmoniformes; Salmonidae
Description: lncRNA (ENSSSAG00000097825.1)
Source: RNAcentral
GACGUCAAUCUAAUGUAGAAUGUUCUGCUCUGUAUGUUACCAUGAGCAACAGCUGGGGUAUGUUGCAUGUUUGGUCUGGGACUGACGUCUUGUCUUUUUCACCAGUGUUUAUCUAUGACUUUGUCCGAGUCUCCAAGGAGGCCAGUAGGAGAUCUGAUGCUCUAGCUGCUGCCAAACUGAAGAGAAAACAACCACCCACUGUUGAACCAGUCAACUUGAUCCAAAUGUACCCUCUAUGAUACCUUACUCUGAGUGGCGUUCACUUGCUUGAAUAUGUGAUCCCUGGCUAAGUUAAGUGUAGGCUAUACUGACUGCAGGGUCUUACAUUCUGUUGUAACAAUGGCCCGCUUUAGAGCGGGAGCGCAUCGCUGCAUAGUUUCGUUUGAAAAAUACAUCAUCCACGGCUAAUGAUUUGGAGGCGAAUUUUCCCAAGAACGAAUCUGAGUCCACUGUACAAUUUGCAGACUCUACAAAACCAGAGUGCUGUCAGCCUUAGAGAGUGAGAACCUCUGCCUGAGUCUCAGCUGACUGAUGCUUGCAUCAACUACCACGUCUUUUACCCAGUGAUAUUUAAUGGAAGGAACAGAAAUCAAAUCUCCAAAUAAGAUCAUGUUGAGACUGCCACCUUUGAAGACUGCCACUUUCUGUCUCGUCACUAAUCCCCAUAACAAUGACUGUUUAACAGUUUAAUGCAACCCUCAGGUUUCAACCCUUUAGGAUAGACCAGUGAGGAGACAAUACUUCCAGGCAUAAUGUACAUGAUUUUAAAAAGCCCCAGGCAUCGAAGCAUCUUUCAAAGCCUGCUCUCUGUCAUCUUUUAGUUUGACCCUCCUAUUGAGACACUCAUCCCUUUUGGCAUAGCUUUUGAAUGAGCUUUAGUUUAUUACGGUGUCUGUGACUUUCCUAUGAUGAAGCACUGCAGAACAACACAAAUCAACGUUUAUUGGUGCGUCCACAGUUCUGCACGUUAUCGCAGGUGCAGCGAGAUGCUUAUGUUUCGAGCUCCAACAAUGCAGC